RNAcentral lists this ribosomal RNA (505 nucleotides) under uncultured bacterium. Its description in RNAcentral is "partial 16S ribosomal RNA". It matches the Rfam family "Bacterial small subunit ribosomal RNA", at positions 28 to 507 of the family's 1533-position model. The record is from RNAcentral.
GACGAACGCUGGCGGCGUGCCUAAUACAUGCAAGUAGAACGCACAGUUUAUACCGUAGCUUGCUACACCAUAGACUGUGAGUUGCGAACGGGUGAGUAACGCGUAGGUAACCUGCCUGGUAGCGGGGGAUAACUAUUGGAAACGAUAGCUAAUACCGCAUAAUAUUGAUUAUUGCAUGAUAAUUGAUUGAAAGAUGCUAUUGCAUCACUACCAGAUGGACCUGCGUUGUAUUAGCUAGUAGGUGAGGUAACGGCUCACCUAGGCGACGAUACAUAGCCGACCUGAGAGGGGGAUCGGCCACACUGGGACUGAGACACGGCCCAGACUCCUACGGGAGGCAGCAGUAGGGAAUCUUCGGCAAUGGACGAAAGUCUGACCGAGCAACGCCGCGGGAGUGAAGAAGGUUUUCGGAUCGUAAAGCUCUGUUGUAAGAGAAGAACGGGUGUGAGAGUGGAAAGUUCACACUGUGACGGUAACUAACCAGAAAGGGACGGCUAACUACGUG